Molecule: ribosomal RNA, 852 nt
Filed under: Tegenaria cf. lenkoranica AB-2015
Lineage: Eukaryota; Metazoa; Arthropoda; Arachnida; Araneae; Agelenidae
Description: SSU rRNA
Rfam family: Eukaryotic small subunit ribosomal RNA
Source: RNAcentral
AUGUCUAAGUACAUGCCGUAUUAAGGCGAAACCGCGAAUGGCUCAUUAAAUCAGUCAUGGUUCCUUGGAUCGUACCUUACUACUUGGAUAACUGUGGCAAUUCUAGAGCUAAUACAUGCAGCAGAGCUCCGACCUUCGGGGACGAGCGCUUUUAUUAGACCAAAACCAAUCGGACCUUGUGUCCGUCUCUUGUGGUGACUCUGUAUAACUUUGGGCUGAUCGCACGGGCCUGUCCCGGCGACGUAUCUUUCAAGUGUCUGCCUUAUCAACUUUCGAUGGUAGGUUACGCGCCUACCAUGGUCGUAACGGGUAACGGGGAAUCAGGGUUCGAUUCCGGAGAGGGAGCCUGAGAAACGGCUACCACAUCCAAGGAAGGCAGCAGGCGCGCAAAUUACCCACUCCCGGAACGGGGAGGUAGUGACGAAAAAUAACAAUACGGGACUCUUUUGAGACCCCGUAAUUGGAAUGAGUACACUCUAAAUCCUUUAACGAGGAUCCAUUGGAGGGUAAGUCUGGUGCCAGCAACCGCGGUAAUUCCAGCUCCAAUAGCGUAUAUUAAAGUUGUUGCGGUUAAAAAGCUCGUAGUUGGAUCUCAGUUCCAGACGGGUGGUCCUCCUACCGGUGGCUACUGCCUGUUCUGAACAGUCAGCCGGUUUCUCUUGAUGAUCUUCACCGGUUGUCUUGGGUGACCGGCAAGUUUACUUUGAAAAAAUUAGAGUGCUCAAAGCAGGCGUGACGCCUGAAUAAUGGUGCAUGGAAUAAUGGAAUAGGACCUCGGUUCUAUUUUGUUGGUUUUCGGAACACGAGGUAAUGAUUAAGAGGGACAGACGGGGGCAUUCGUAUUGCGACGCU